AAUUGUUAAUUAUCUACAAGAGAAUAACUAAACAAAUAAGAGGGGAUUAGAAAAGCGACGCUUAGUCUUCUUGACUGGCAACCAGAACAAUAAAAUAAUGACUAACAACGUCUCAAUCCCAAGCUAGUUAGAGUCAGAAUAGAUAUCGUUCAACAUUCUGUAUAGUAAGGACUCGUGAUAAUUUGAGUAGAUUUACACUAUCUGUCAACCUAGUGCUAUCCUCCUCCUUUGUUUAGGCUUGAGACCGAUAAAAUAAGAUCUUAAAAUUAGUCACACUUCAUCAGUAUGGUGUGGCGAAGACAUGACAGGCAUUGCUAAGCAGGUCGGAGUUUGGUCCCCAGGCAUGAUCACAACCAUACUAUGAUCCCAUUGAUCAGCUGCUGUAAUUGAUGGCUGUUCAGGCCGCUUUUCUGUACUUUGCCUUCGUAAAUCUGGCGAAAAUUCUUUGCUUUUAGAGCAGCAGCAUUUGAGCAGGCAUAAAAAAACCAUGAACCCGAAUAAAACCAUGAGGCAACCAUUGGCGAUGUGGGCCGUUUUGGUAUAUGGUACAGAGGUAAUUUCUUCAGUAUAGGCCAUAGGUACGUUAAAAUUGUUUGUUGAAUUCUGUUAAGUGUAAGCAAAGAUUAUUAACUUUUUAAGUAGCUGAAAAAAUAGCAGAUGUUAUAGAAGACUUGUAAUGUUGAAGUGCAAGUAUAAUUUGGAAAGGAAUAGACAAUGGGACUUCUCCAAAAAGGUGGAAUCCUGGAGUUAUAAGGCAUAAUCAAAUCAUGUGUGGAACAAAUACAGGAACUCUUUCUGAUCUUGUUCAAUUUUGACAGUGACUCUCUUGCUUGUUUGUGCUACUACGUAAUAUCCUGUUUAAGAAAUACCAAAAGCAAAUAAGGAACAAAUUAAAUUAACCAUAUAAAGUUGUGGCUGGACAAUUUCACCAUUAUACAUGCUAUGUUUCAUCUCUUUGAUCAAAUGGAUCUUUUUGUUAAAAUCAAAACAUUGACUACUGAUUUUUGUAACUACUUGUGCGGAUAAAGGUUUCCAAAAAUGAUAUAAUACCCCUGUUUCCGCGGAUUGUAGGGUAAAAUGUUUCUCAUCUUGUAGGGUAAAAAGUUUCCGCGGGCUGUAGAAUAAUUUUUUUUUUUUCUAAAUUUAAUGUAUCUAUUCUCUAACAUAUUUUGUGGAAAAUGUACUACUCACCAACCAAACAAGGAAAAAUAAGUGGUAAAACCACUCAAUAUAUAUCAUGAAAACAUUGUUUAGAAAAAUAUUUUCGUUUGUACCAAACACACCGUUGCUGUCCGUUGGUAUUGUACGUUAUGAAAAUUGAUACACAAUUAUAAGUAACAAAAAAACGUUCAAUAGAAACUGAAUAAGUAACAUAAAUUUACAUCUGUUUGAUACCAAAAAGAGUACUAAUCAUUGUCCUAGUGUAAGAAGUGAGAACCUUAGGCCUUCAACGUUUUGAGAAGCUACAACAUAAUGAUGGUGGCAACCUGAAGCUCAAUCUUGAAGCCAAGUUUGCACAGGCCCCAGGUUUGAUGCUUGGAGAUUUGCAGUCAGCUGAAGAAGAAAGGUGAAGAUUGAUCAAAAGAAAAUGAAUUAAUUGGGGUCUCUUAGCGUGGCCACGUAGUAGAGCAUGUGGACAAGUGUAUUUGCUAGUAAUAGUUAUGCGUGUGAGUUCUUC
RNAcentral lists this long non-coding RNA (1678 nucleotides) under Nicotiana benthamiana. Its description in RNAcentral is "long non-coding RNA (NBEN_LNC022754)". Lineage: Eukaryota; Viridiplantae; Streptophyta; Magnoliopsida; Solanales; Solanaceae. The record is from RNAcentral.